Molecule: ribosomal RNA, 460 nt
Filed under: uncultured bacterium
Lineage: Bacteria
Description: partial 16S ribosomal RNA
Rfam family: Bacterial small subunit ribosomal RNA
Source: RNAcentral
CCUACGGGUGGCAGCAGUGAGGAAUAUUGGUCAAUGGGCGUAAGCCUGAACCAGCCAAGUCGCGUGAGGGAUGAAGGUUCUAUGGAUCGUAAACCUCUUUUAUAAGGGAAUAAAGUGUGGGACGUGUCCUAUUUUGUAUGUACCUUAUGAAUAAGGAUCGGCUAACUCCGUGCCAGCAGCCGCGGUAAUACGGAGGAUCCGAGCGUUGUCCGGAUUUAUUGGGUUUAAGGGGUGCGUAGGCGGUCUUUUAAGUCAGCGGUGAAAGUCUGUGGCUAAACCAUAGAAUGGCCGUUGAAACUGGGGGGCGUGAGUAUGUUUGAGGCAGGUGGAAUGCGUGGGGUAGCGGUGAAAUGCUUAGAUAUAACGCAGAACCCCGAUGGCGAAGGCAGCCGGCCAAGCCAUGACUGACGCUGAUGCACGAAAGCGUGGGGAUCAAACAGGAUUAGAUACCCUUGUAGUC